Molecule: ribosomal RNA, 137 nt
Filed under: uncultured eukaryote
Lineage: Eukaryota
Description: partial 18S ribosomal RNA
Rfam family: Eukaryotic small subunit ribosomal RNA
Source: RNAcentral
UGGUGGAGUGAUUUGUCUGGUUAAUUCCGUUAACGAACGAGACCUCAACUUACUAAUCAGUGUCAGGAUUCUUUGAAUCUUGUUACUUCUUAGAGGGACUGCUACCUUUCAGGUAGAGGAAGUUGGAGGCAAUAACA